Suncus etruscus (white-toothed pygmy shrew) is the source of this 129-nucleotide non-coding RNA. RefSeq annotates it as small Cajal body-specific RNA 24. Lineage: Eukaryota; Metazoa; Chordata; Mammalia; Eulipotyphla; Soricidae. The transcript has a single exon. The record is from RefSeq and is a predicted model, not a curated record.
UGGACACUUAUUUAAAAGCAGUUUUUUCUCACACUGAAGAUGAAUCUUUUAAAUGUCCUAGAGAAAUAAAGUUGCUCUCUGUGCACCCUUUCCACAUCAAAAGAAUGCAUAGUUCCAUUACUGACAUUU